Molecule: ribosomal RNA, 423 nt
Filed under: uncultured bacterium
Lineage: Bacteria
Description: bacterial SSU rRNA
Rfam family: Bacterial small subunit ribosomal RNA
Source: RNAcentral
AAGACCUUGCGCUUUUGGAGCGGCCGAUGUCUGAUUAGCUUGUUGGUAAGGUAAAAGCUUACCAAGGCUUCGAUCAGUAGCUGGUCUGAGAGGACGACCAGCCACACUGGGACUGAGACACGGCCCAGACUCCUACGGGAGGCAGCAGUGGGGAAUUUUGGACAAUGGGGGCAACCCUGAUCCAGCCAUGCCGCGUGAGUGAAGAAGGCCUUCGGGUCGUAAAGCUCUUUCAGCCGGAACGAAACGGUUACGGUUAAUACCCGUGACUACUGACGGUACCGGAAGAAGAAGCACCGGCUAACUACGUGCCAGCAGCCGCGGUAAUACGUAGGGUGCAAGCGUUAAUCGGAAUUACUGGGCGUAAAGCGUGCGCAGGUGGUUUUGUAAGUCAGAUGUGAAAUCCCCGGGCUUAACCUGGGAACU